RNAcentral lists this ribosomal RNA (856 nucleotides) under uncultured bacterium. RNAcentral describes it as "bacterial SSU rRNA". It matches the Rfam family "Bacterial small subunit ribosomal RNA", at positions 23 to 876 of the family's 1533-position model. The record is from RNAcentral.
CUCAGGACGAAACGCUGGGGGGGGUCCCUAACACAAUGCAAGUCGAACGAAGCUUGAGGGAAGGAAUUUUCGGAGGAAAAUCUGAAAUGAUUGAGUGGCGGACGGGUGAGUAACGCGUGAGCAACCUGCCCUUCAGAGGGGGAUAGCGUCUGAAACGGACGGUAAUACCGCAUAACGUAUAAAUACGGCAUCGUAGAUAUACCAAAGAUUUAUCGCUGAAGGAUGGGCUCGCGUCUGAUUAGAUAGUUGGUGGGGUAACGGCCUACCAAGUCGACGAUCAGUAGCCGGACUGAGAGGUUGAACGGCCACAUUGGGACUGAGACACGGCCCAGACUCCUACGGGAGGCAGCAGUGGGGAAUAUUGCACAAUGGGCGCAAGCCUGAUGCAGCAACGCCGCGUGGAGGAAGACGGUUUUCGGAUUGUAAACUCCUGUUCUUAGUGAAGAAGAAUGACGGUAGCUAAGGAGCAAGCCACGGCUAACUACGUGCCAGCAGCCGCGGUAAUACGUAGGUGGCAAGCGUUGUCCGGAAUUACUGGGUGUAAAGGGAGCGCAGGCGGGGGAGCAAGUCAGCUGUGAAAUCCAUGGGCUUAACCCAUGAACUGCAGUUGAAACUGUUCUUCUUGAGUGAAGUAGAGGUUGGCGGAAUUCCGAGUGUAGCGGUGAAAUGCGUAGAUAUUCGGAGGAACACCGGUGGCGAAGGCGGCCAACUGGGCUUUUACUGACGCUGAGGCUCGAAAGUGUGGGGAGCAAACAGGAUUAGAUACCCUGGUAGUCCACACUGUAAACGAUGAUAACUAGGUGUAGGGGGUCUGACCCCUUCUGUGCCGCAGCUAACGCAAUAAGUAUCCACCUGG